AGGACGAACGCUGGCGGCGUGCUUAACACAUGCAAGUCGAGCGGAAAGGCCCUUCGGGGUACUCGAGUGGCGAACGGGUGAGUAACACGUGAGUAAUCUGCCCUUAGCUCUGGGAUAGCUCCGGGAAACCGGGAUUAAUACCAGAUACGACCACUUUAGACAUCUGCCGUGGUGGAAAGAAUUUCGGCUAAGGAUGAGCUCGCGGCCUAUCAGCUUGUUGGUGGGGUAACGGCCUACCAAGGCGACGACGGGUAGCCGGCCUGAGAGGGCGACGGCCACGACCUGGGACUGAGACACGGCCCAGACUCCUACGGGAGGCAGCAGUGGGGAAUCUUGCGCAAUGGGCGGAAGCCUGACGCAGCGACGCCGCGUGGGGGAUGAAGGCCUUCGGGUUGUAAACCCCGUUUCAGCAGGGACGAAGCGAAAGUGACGGUACCUGCAGAAGAAGCGCCGGCUAACUACGUGCCAGCAGCCGC
Molecule: ribosomal RNA, 476 nt
Filed under: uncultured bacterium
Lineage: Bacteria
Description: SSU rRNA
Rfam family: Bacterial small subunit ribosomal RNA
Source: RNAcentral